Molecule: long non-coding RNA, 1399 nt
Filed under: Oncorhynchus mykiss (rainbow trout)
Lineage: Eukaryota; Metazoa; Chordata; Actinopteri; Salmoniformes; Salmonidae
Description: lncRNA (ENSOMYG00000050224.1)
Source: RNAcentral
CAUCAGGUUCUAUCCUGACUCUAUCCAAACCCCUCUGUUAGUCCUACCCUGGCUCUAUCCAAACCCCUCUGUUAGUCCUACCCUGGCUCUAUCCAAACCCCUCUGUUAGUCCUACCCUGGCUCUAUCCAAACCCCUCUGUUAGUCCUACCCUGGCUCUAUCCAAACCCCUCUGUUAGUCCUACCCUGGCUCUAUCCAAACCCCUCUGUUAGUCCUACCCUGGCUCUAUCCAAACCCCUCUGUUAGUCCUACCCUGGCUCUAUCAAACCCCUCUGUUAGUCCUACCCUGGCUCUAUCUAAACCAAUCUGUUAGUCCUACCCUGGCUCUAUCCAAACCCCUCUGUUAGUCCAACCCUGGCUCUAUCCAAACCCCUAUGUAAGUCCUACCCUGACUCUAUCCAAACCCCUCUGUUAGUCCUACCCUAGCUCUAUCCAAACCUCUCUGUUAGUCCUACCCUGGCUCUAUCCAAACCCCUCUGUUAGUCCUACCCUGGCUCUAUCCAAACACCUCUGGUAGUCCUACCCUGGUUCUAUCCAAACCCCUCUGUUAGUCCUACCCUGGCUCUAUCCAAACCCCUCUGUUAGUCCUACCCUGGCUCUAUCCAAACCCCUCUGUUAGUCCUACCCUGACUCUAUCCAAACCCCUCUGUUAGUCCUACCCUGGCUCUAUCCAUAUCCUCAAUCACAGAAUCCUACUGCUGGUCAGAAAAACAGAUCGAUACAGCCCACUGUGGACUUUGCAAAAGAGAGGAGUGUCUGUGUGUGUGUGUGUGCGUGCGUGCGCGCGCUUGACGGAUCAACCUCUUCUCUAGGCACUUUUUGUCGUCUGUCGUUGUAUUUCUCAUGCCUGUUCGCUAUAUAAAUGUGGUUAUUGUUCAGGAUAAAAAUGGAGCUGAAAAAUAGUAUCUUUCCUACAGCUUUAGAUUUUCAGACUGCCUCACGGAAUCAUCAUUGGAACAUGUGUCAGGUGAAUUAGUGACGUUUAUAUCAUGUAAACUGGAAGAAGAAACCUGGUUGGCAUGGUAAUUCAUGCUUUAUUAAAAGGCUAUACGUCUUGCUUGUAAUGGUCAAUUAGCCUGUCAACGGCUAUAGCCAUUUCCUGUAUACUUUUUUAUUUAACCAGGCAAGCCAGUUAAGAACAAAUAAUUAUUUACAAUGACGGCCUAUCGGGGAACAGUGGGUUAACUGUCUUGUUCAGUGGCAGUACGACAGAUUUGUACCUUGUCAGCUCAGGGAUUCGCUCCAGCAACCUUUCGGUUACUAGUCCAACGCUCUAACCACUAGGCUACCUGCCUGUUAGCCUAUGGGUGCUCAUUUUGUGUCCGUCAGAAGCCUGAUUACUCUGGUUGACACCUAACUCCAAGUCUUCCUGACUUCAGUCUGGUAAGACUCCUUUAUGU